GACGAACGCUGGCGGCGUGCCUAAUACAUGCAAGUCGAGCGAUGAAGCUUGGUGCUUGCACCAAUUUGAAGAGCAGCGCACGGGUGAGUAACGCGUGGGGAAUCUGCCUUUGAGCGGGGGACAACAUUUGGAAACGAAUGCUAAUACCGCAUAACAUCUUUAAACAUAAGUUUUAAGUUUGAAAGAUGCAAUUGCAUCAUUCAAAGAUGAUCCCGCGUUGUAUUAGCUAGUUGGUGAGGUAAAGGCUCACGAAGGCGAUGAUACAUAGCCGACCUGAGAGGGUGGGUGGCCACACUGAGAGGGAGACAGGGCCCAAUCGGCUAGGGGAGGGAGCAGGAGGGAAACGGGAGGAAGGGGCGAAGGUCUGACCAAGAAACGCGGAGGGAGGGAGGAAGAUUGUCGGGUCGUAAAAGUCGGUUGGUGGGGAGGAACGUGGGUGAGAGUGGAAAGCUCAGUGAGUGACGGUAACGGGCCAAAAAGGGACGGCUAACUACGUG
This 497-nucleotide ribosomal RNA is filed under the name uncultured bacterium. RNAcentral's name for it is "partial 16S ribosomal RNA". It matches the Rfam family "Bacterial small subunit ribosomal RNA", at positions 28 to 507 of the family's 1533-position model. The record is from RNAcentral.